AUUGAACGCUGGCGGCAGGCCUAACACAUGCAAGUCGAACGGUAACAGGAAGAAGCUUGCUUCUUUGCUGACGAGUGGCGGACGGGUGAGUCAUGUCUGGGAAACUGCCUGAUGGAGGGGGAUAACUACUGGAAACGGUAGCUAAUACCGCAUAACGUCGCAAGACCAAAGAGGGGGACCUUCGGGCCUCUUGCCAUCGGAUGUGCCCAGAUGGGAUUAGCUAGUAGGUGGGGUAACGGCUCACCUAGGCGACGAUCCCUAGCUGGUCUGAGAGGAUGACCAGCCACACUAGAACUGAGACACGGUCCAGACUCCUACGGGAGGCAGCAGUGGGGAAUAUUGCACAAUGGGCGCAAGCCUGAUGCAGCCAUGCCGCGUGUAUGAAGAAGGCCUUCGGGUUGUAAAGUACUUUCAGCGGGGAGGAAGGGAGUAAAGUUAAUACCUUUGCUCAUUGACGUUACCCGCAGAAGAAGCACCGGCUAACUCCGUG
Molecule: ribosomal RNA, 490 nt
Filed under: uncultured bacterium
Lineage: Bacteria
Description: partial 16S ribosomal RNA
Rfam family: Bacterial small subunit ribosomal RNA
Source: RNAcentral